This 253-nucleotide ribosomal RNA is filed under the name uncultured bacterium. RNAcentral's name for it is "partial 16S ribosomal RNA". It matches the Rfam family "Bacterial small subunit ribosomal RNA", at positions 524 to 776 of the family's 1533-position model. The record is from RNAcentral.
UACAGAGGUCUCAAGCGUUGUUCGGAUUCAUUGGGCGUAAAGGGCGCGUAGGCGGCGGGGUCAGUCGGGUGUGAAAUCUUGGGGCUUAACCCCGAAACGGCACUCGAAACUGCCCGGCUGGAGGGCCGGAGAGGAGAUCGGAAUUCAUGGUGUAGCAGUGAAAUGCGUAGAGAUCAUGAGGAAGACCAGUGGCGAAGGCGGGUCUCUGGACAGUUCCUGACACUGAGGCACGAAGGCCAGGGGAGCAAACGGG